CUCCCGCCCGCCCCUUCCCUGCCUGCUCCAGCCACACUGGCUUCCAUGCUGCUGCUUGUCCACGCCGCAUGUGUCCCACCUUGGGACCUUGGCCCUGUCUUUUCCCUGCUGCUUGAGACAAGAUUCCGCCAUACCUCCCAGCCUGUGCGGUCCGCCUUACCUGCCCCUCAUUUAACACUGCCAUCCUUGAAUGGCUCUCACAGGUUGCAUCUCUCUGACCUCUCCUGCCGGGUCUCUUUGCCUCCAGCCAGGGCAAGCUCUCUACUUUUAAGGGCCCCUGAGACUAGGCUCGGCCCCCCCAGAGGAUCUGAGGGGAUCUCUCCGCUUUAAGCUUCUGGAGGCCACCUGCUUUCCGAGCCUCGUGGCCCCUAGCUCCACCUUCAAAGCUGGGAGCAGCGCAUCUUCCAAUCUCGCCCUCUGUCCUGCUUCCCUUGUCACAAUCGCCUUCUGUAUCUGUAACCAUCCAACCUCCCUCCUACAAGGACUUUUGUGAAGACAUUAGGGCCCGUAAAGAUAAUCCAGGAUAAUCUCCCCUUCUCGAGAUGAGACCUUUAAGGUAACCACAUCUGCAAAUCCCUUUUGCUGUGUGAAGUAAGAUAUUCACAGGUUCUGGGAAUGAGGCUGUGGCCAUCCUUGCGGGGCCAUUAUUCAGCCUCCACGGGAGGAGAAAGAAUGCCACUCGGAUCACUCCCAUUGCUUGAGGACAGGGAAGAGGAAGUCAGGAAGCUGAAUCAGCAUGGGGUACGGCGGCAAGCUCAACACUGGGACAGAGAAGACAGCCACAUCAGCUCUGACCUGGCCUCCUCUGCCCUGGGGUUGUCCGUGUGUGGGGUCUGUUCUAGCUAAGUCUGGGGCUCCCAGUUGGGACGAGGGAUACUCCUGGAGGACAGACUGGCCCCUCGGUGAGAGGUUAGGAGCAGGGGCUCUCGCUUCAGAGUGCCAUGGUUUCAAUCCUGACUCUGCCAUCACUAGCUGUGUGACUUGGGGAGACUACUUAACCUCUCUGUGCUUCAGUGUUUACACGGACAAAAUGGAGUUGAAAAUGCUGAUAC
This 1052-nucleotide long non-coding RNA is filed under the name Equus asinus (donkey). Its description in RNAcentral is "lncRNA (ENSEASG00005025960.1)". Lineage: Eukaryota; Metazoa; Chordata; Mammalia; Perissodactyla; Equidae. The record is from RNAcentral.